GCAGCCGAAGAUUGAUAGGGUAUCCUUUGAGAGUUCGUGUGGUGGGGAAGAAGACAAGUCUAUCUUCUUCGGUGGCUCACCUAAAGCGCGUUACAAGAUGAUGGAGGAAGAUAGAAACGACAACCCGGGCAAGCUCAUAGCCAGGACACAACCGAGGUCCACCACCAAAUGGAGUAAAUAUAUUGGCCCCUACCGCAUUCUGAACAAUAACACAGAGCCCCUAGGAGUACCUGCCAUCUCCAAGGGUUAAAUGUCCGAGCAUUCUCGUAGUGUUCAUUAUUAAGGUGCACAGCUCGGAAUGAAGCAAAAAUCUUGCAUCCCUUUGGAAUUGUGUAAUCUAAGAAACAAAGAAAAAUGCCAUACAUAAUGAGCAUUUCUGAUGAAAAAUGUAUGGGGACUUCUUUUAGAUAAUGAAUAAAAUGUACGUGGGCUUAGUAUAGUUUAUAUUGAAAUACCUUUAUAAUGAAUAUCAGUGUUUGCUCGCCUGAAUACUCCACUAAUAAUGUUACCCACACGGAGUGUCUCAUUUAUCACCUGAAGAAAUGUUAACCCUUCAUUUAAUCAUGAUGUGAGUAAACCAACUGUACUGUCUCAAAGGUUCAGUUAAGAGAUGCCAUUUACACUAGAUGGAUUCGUGCUGUUGGCAUGAUAUUUUUAGGAGUAGCUAAUUUUUAAGAAAACAAGGGCUUUCCAACUUACACAUUGAGUAAAUGGCAUGGACUUGUAAUCGCUCCACUCUAAUGGUUGGUUUUUCCCUUUCAUAUCCCUGAUAUUGGCAUGCUCUUCCUG
This 789-nucleotide small RNA is filed under the name Oryza sativa Japonica Group (Japanese rice). RNAcentral describes it as "sRNA Os12g0139350". The record is from RNAcentral. Lineage: Eukaryota; Viridiplantae; Streptophyta; Magnoliopsida; Poales; Poaceae.